RNAcentral lists this ribosomal RNA (466 nucleotides) under uncultured bacterium. RNAcentral describes it as "partial 16S ribosomal RNA". It matches the Rfam family "Bacterial small subunit ribosomal RNA", at positions 339 to 795 of the family's 1533-position model. The record is from RNAcentral.
CUACGGGAUGCAGCAGUGAGGAAUUUUGCGCAAUGGGGGAAACCCUGACGCAGCAACGCCGCGUGGGUGAAGAAGGCCUUCGGGUCGUAAAGCCCUGUCAGGUGGGAAGAAUGUCCCAGGGGUGAAUAGUCUUUGGGAGUGACGGUACCACCAGAGGAAGCACCGGCUAACUCCGUGCCAGCAGCCGCGGUAAUACGGAGGGUGCGAGCGUUGUUCGGAAUCAUUGGGCGUAAAGGGCGUGCAGGUGGUUGGGUAAGUCUGAUGUGAAAGUCCGGGGCUCAACCCCGGAAGUGCAUUGGGAAACUGUCCGACUUGAGUACCGGAGAGGAUGGGGGAAUUCCCGGUGUAGAGGUGAAAUUCGUAGAGAUCGGGAGGAAUACCAGUGGCGAAGGCGCCCAUCUGGACGGAUACUGACGCUGAGACGCGAAAGCGUGGGGAGCAAACAGGAUUAGAUACCCUUGUAGUC